UCUCUAUUCCUAUUCAGUCUUCUUUUCAAUUUAUUUAGUGUUGAGUAUGGAGUGGAACUUGAUUCAGGACACUGUGAUGUGGGAAGUUCCAAAGGGAGGAAAAAUAUCUUUGAGGACAAUUUUCUGGGUGGCCUGCAGGAACAAACAAAACAGCUUCCCUUCCUUAUGCAGAGAAUAAACCUCACUAGCUAACCUUCCUACUAUUGGAGCAGCUCACUAAGUAGAAACAAAGCUUGAUGGACUCCUGAUAAACUCUUUGUUGGAACUUUAAUCUCUGGCUGUCUGGGCUUUUA
RNAcentral lists this long non-coding RNA (293 nucleotides) under Monodelphis domestica (gray short-tailed opossum). RNAcentral describes it as "lncRNA (ENSMODG00000043496.1)". Lineage: Eukaryota; Metazoa; Chordata; Mammalia; Didelphimorphia; Didelphidae. The record is from RNAcentral.